Molecule: transfer RNA, 72 nt
Filed under: Bos taurus (domestic cattle)
Lineage: Eukaryota; Metazoa; Chordata; Mammalia; Artiodactyla; Bovidae
Also listed under: 4 other names
Rfam family: tRNA
About the family: Transfer RNA (tRNA) molecules are approximately 80 nucleotides in length. Their secondary structure includes four short double-helical elements and three loops (D, anti-codon, and T loops).
Source: Rfam by way of RNAcentral
UCUCUGAUAGCUCAGUUGGUAAAGAAUCUGCCUGCAAUGCAGGAGACCCUGGUUCGAUUCCUGGGUUGAGAA